Molecule: ribosomal RNA, 544 nt
Filed under: uncultured Desulfobacterium sp.
Lineage: Bacteria; Pseudomonadati; Thermodesulfobacteriota; Desulfobacteria; Desulfobacterales; Desulfobacteriaceae
Description: bacterial SSU rRNA
Rfam family: Bacterial small subunit ribosomal RNA
Source: RNAcentral
UCGCGGCCGCAGAGUUUGAUCAUGGCUCAGAUUGAACGCUGGCGGCGUGCUUAACACAUGCAAGUCGAACGAGAAAGGGAGUGCUUGCAUUCCCGAGUAGAGUGGCGCACGGGUGAGUAACACGUGGAUAAUCUACCUUUGAAUCCGGGAUAACUGUUCGAAAGAAUCGCUAAUACCGAAUGAAGUCAAUGUUUCCUAGGAGAUAUUGAUGAAAGACAGCCUCUUCUUGAAAGCUGUUGUUUGAAGAUGAGUCCGCGCACCAUUAGCUUGUUGGUGGGGUAAAGGCCUACCAAGGCUCUGAUGGUUAGCUGGUCUGAGAGGAUGAUCAGCCACACUGGAACUGACACACGGUCCAGACUCCUACGGGAGGCAGCAGUGAGGAAUUUUGCGCAAUGGGGGCAACCCUGACGCAGCAACGCCGCGUGAGUGAAGAAGGCCCUUGGGUCGUAAAACUCUGUCAAUGGGGAAGAAGUUAUUAUACUUUAAUAGAGUAUAGUAUUGACGGUACCCAUGAAGGAAGCACCGGCUUACUCCGUGCCAGCAG